RNAcentral lists this unclassified non-coding RNA (438 nucleotides) under soil metagenome. RNAcentral describes it as "partial contains 5.8S ribosomal RNA, internal transcribed spacer 2, and large subunit ribosomal RNA". The stretch from base 1 to 120 matches the Rfam family "5.8S ribosomal RNA", at positions 35 to 154 of the family's 154-position model. The record is from RNAcentral.
GAUGAAGAACGCAGCGAAAUGCGAUAAGUAAUGUGAAUUGCAGAAUUCAGUGAAUCAUCGAAUCUUUGAACGCACCUUGCGCUCCUUGGUAUUCCUCGGAGCAUGCCUGUUUGAGUAUCAUGAGACUCUCAAAGCAAAUCUUUUGUUAAUUCAAUUGGUUCUUGCUUUGGAUUUGGAGGUUCUUUUGCAGAUGUUUAUCUUCUGCUCCUCUUAAAUGUAUUAGCUGGAUCUCAGUAUAUGCUCGGUUCCACUCGGCGUGAUAAGUAUCACUCGCUUAGGACACUUUUGUUUUUGUUUUUUUUUAAAAAAAAAAAAGGUGGCCGGGAAAUACAGAUGAACCGCUUCAAACAGUCCAUUUGCUUGGACAAUGAGUUUUAAGAUCUGAUCUCAAAUCAGGUAGGACUACCCGCUGAACUUAAGCAUAUCAAUAAGCGGAGG